ACCAAGAGUCCUUCAGAACAUGUGACCUUCCUGCUCACAACAUAAAACUCAGCUUUCUGUGGCCUCUAUAGUUCGGCUCAGCACCUAUAUCCCAUCCAAGACAAAGGCACCACUUCAAUGACAGGUCACCAGUCUUUGGUUGGGAAAGAAGAUGAGACUGCUGCUUGAAUGUACACCUCUAGGCAGAGCUGAACAUCCUUUAGAAAACUGCUGGUGGUCUGAAAGUUGCACAUCUUCCAGCAUGUUCUUGCUGCCCAGUGGAGGUUCCUGAUCUGGCCAUCUGCAGUGUCACGCUCCGUGUAUUUGACAAGCUGAGUUGGACACUCUGUGUGGUAGAGUGUCAGUUUGUCAAAUACCCCAAGUGUGGCUCAUGCUUAUCAGCUCCAGGUCCAGGACAGAGCACAUAGCCUGCUGGCUACAUAUGAAUGCUUAUGAAACAUGAAUCUCUCUGGAGUUAUUCUAUGUCUUUGAGGGAACUAUAACAUUUAUUCAGAGGACAUCAGAGUAGAAAUGAUGAAGCUCUGGAGUCUACAAGUCUGGUAUGCAUAUGUGUACAUUGUGAAAAUGCCAUGGACUGCAUAGUGGUCUUGAAAAUACAUGAGGGAUACAGGGAAUGAGAGUAUUAUUUGAUUUAUUAUUAAUGUCUUCUUUCACUUUCCUCUUCUUGCAGCCAGAAUAGCAGAAUUUUCAUACAAGCAUCAUGAAUUCUAUGAGAAAGUAGGAAAUAAAUAUCCACUGUCUGGCCUUCGGAGCACAUCUUAACCUUACCUACAUUUUCUCUUUUCCACUUUGUUUUUAUCCUCCUUAAAAGAACCUUCUUGUUUAUCUUCCUUGGACUUUCAGACACUAACAAAUUCCAAUUUCUCUUGGCACUAUUGAAAGUUAACCUAUACUUUACUCCUUGGCUAACCACAUACUGGUAUGUGCUAUUAUAUGUCUUACCAUCCAACACAUCUUCUAAUGUUGUCAGUGAAUUUUUCCAGGGUAUAUUCUUGAAUUCUCUAUUAUAUUGUAAGAGUCUAGAGCUUAUUAUACU
Mus caroli (Ryukyu mouse) is the source of this 1036-nucleotide long non-coding RNA. RefSeq lists it as uncharacterized. Lineage: Eukaryota; Metazoa; Chordata; Mammalia; Rodentia; Muridae. The record is from RefSeq and is a predicted model, not a curated record.